GGCAUUGCCGGGUAGCUAAGUUCGGAAGAGAUAACCGCUGAAAGCAUCUAAGCGGGAAACUCGUUUCAAGAUUAGAUCUGCCGGGGCCUUGAGCCCCCUGAAGAGUCGUUCAAGACCAGGACGUUGAUAGGCAGGGUGUGGAAGCGCAGUAAUGCGUUAAGCUAACCUGUACUAAUUGCUCGUGCGGCUUGACCCUAUAACUUUG
RNAcentral lists this ribosomal RNA (205 nucleotides) under Polaromonas sp. RNAcentral describes it as "partial 23S ribosomal RNA". It matches the Rfam family "Bacterial large subunit ribosomal RNA", at positions 2734 to 2925 of the family's 2925-position model. Lineage: Bacteria; Pseudomonadati; Pseudomonadota; Betaproteobacteria; Burkholderiales; Comamonadaceae. The record is from RNAcentral.